ACAAGCUUGAGAAACGGCUAGUAGGACUAAGGUCUGCAGCAGGCGCGAAACUUACACAAUGCUAGAUUACCUAUAGCGAUGUAGUGAAGAAAAAUAACGAUGUACUUCCGUUAUUACACGGUAGUACAAUUGGAAUGAGACGACUCUAAACCAGUUAGUCGAGUAACAAAUGGAGGGCAAGUCUGGUGCCAGCAGCCGCGGUAAUUCCAGCUCCAUUAGCAUACAUUAAAGUUGUUGCGGUUAAAAAGCUCGUAGUUGAAUUUUACGCGGGCUCUAUUGGGAUGCGACCGAAAAGGUUGGCCGGAUAUUCAUCUGGUCCAACUGGUUGUCAUGCCCUAUAGGAACCCGCUGUUUCGUCACUUAAUUGAGUGCGAAGCGGGCUAGCACAAUGGCACGCCUCGGCGCGCCUUGCACUAGCAUGUUUACCUUGAGAAAAUUAGAGUGCUCACAGCAGGCAGUUGGGGUGUCAAAGCUCCUUUAUGCUUGAAUAAUGUUGCAUGGAAUAAUAGAAUACGGCCUCGGUUUUAUUCUGUUGGUUUUAUAGAACAACAAACAAGUUGGUUAAAGCGAUCAAAAGUCCGUUUGUGAGUGUGGCUUCAUCGUACAUCUGUUUCAAUGUUAUGUUGCCUGGGGCCUUAAAAUCUCAGUGCCUUGCGUUGUACAGUGUCGACGUGGCUAUCCAAGCCCUCCUAAUGUGGCUAGCUUCUCAACCAACUGAGGCAAUGGUUAAAAAAAAUAGUCUCGGCGGCCCCAGUACCGCAUCGUGAGAG
This 770-nucleotide ribosomal RNA is filed under the name Tetrameracarus taiwanensis. RNAcentral's name for it is "bacterial SSU rRNA". It matches the Rfam family "Eukaryotic small subunit ribosomal RNA", at positions 389 to 910 of the family's 1831-position model. Lineage: Eukaryota; Metazoa; Arthropoda; Arachnida; Trombidiformes; Eriophyidae. The record is from RNAcentral.